This is a non-coding RNA of Cinara cedri, 203 nucleotides long. NCBI's taxonomy places the organism in Eukaryota, Metazoa, Arthropoda, Insecta, Hemiptera, Aphididae. The record is from the annotation of a GenBank genome assembly.
GAAAAACAUUCAGUAAUUAUCAAUAGAGUUGACCUCUUAGGCAUAAUCACAUGCAGUGUGUCAGUCGUUCAGAUCUCAAACUCGGCAUAUGUCGUAGCUCUCCAUUCUACCAUAGUAUAAUAUUAGCCAAUGAGAAGUAACUACGGUAAUAUAGGUAAAGUGCAGAAAUAUUCGAGUGGAGUGUGCAUAAUAUCAAAAAACUG